AAGGCGACCGGAAAUUACUAUAUUUUUUUGGGUCGGAUGUUGCGCCGGUUUUGGGUCGGAUGUUGCGCCGGUUUUGGGUCGGAUGUUGACAGACGCGCAACAUCCGACCCAUUUUUUUGAUGCUAAAAUGAACGGUUUAUGGAGUGAAAUCUUGCUACAAAUCGGCUUGAGGGUCGGAUGUUGCGCCUUGCUCCAAUAACCAGGGUUAGGAGCUGCGGCGCCAUCUCAGUUAGAUUUUGGUUUGGUUUCAAAGAAUACUGUUUUAAAACUGGUUAAGUAAUCCGGUUAA
Molecule: long non-coding RNA, 289 nt
Filed under: Cucumis sativus (cucumber)
Lineage: Eukaryota; Viridiplantae; Streptophyta; Magnoliopsida; Cucurbitales; Cucurbitaceae
Description: long non-coding RNA (CSAT_LNC002739)
Source: RNAcentral